AACGAACGCUGGCGGCAUGCCUAACACAUGCAAGUCGAACGAGACCUUCGGGUCUAGUGGCGCACGGGUGCGUAACGCGUGGGAACCUUCCCUUAGGUUCGGAAUAACUCCCCGACAGGGGUGCUAAUACCGGAUAAUGUCUUCGGACCAAAGAUUUAUCGCCUUUGGACGGGCCCGCGUUGGAUUAGCUAGUUGGUAGGGUAAAAGCCUACCAAGGCGACGAUCCAUAGCUGGUCUGAGAGGAUGAUCAGCCACACUGGGACUGAGACACGGCCCAGACUCCUACGGGAGGCAGCAGUGGGGAAUAUUGGACAAUGGGCGAAAGCCUGAUCCAGCAAUGCCGCGUGAGUGAUGAAGGCCUUAGGGUUGUAAAGCUCUUUUACCCGGAAUGAUAAUGACAGUACCGGGAGAAUAAGCCCCGGCUAACUCCGUG
RNAcentral lists this ribosomal RNA (433 nucleotides) under uncultured bacterium. RNAcentral describes it as "partial 16S ribosomal RNA". It matches the Rfam family "Bacterial small subunit ribosomal RNA", at positions 29 to 507 of the family's 1533-position model. The record is from RNAcentral.